UACGAAGGGAGCUAGCGUUGUUCGGAAUUACUGGGCGUAAAGCGCACGUAGGCGGACUUUUAAGUCAGGGGUGAAAUCCCGGGGCUCAACCUCGGAACUGCCUUUGAUACUGGAAGUCUUGAGGUCGAGAGAGGUGAGUGGAAUUCCUAGUGUAGAGGUGAAAUUCGUAGAUAUUAGGAAGAACACCGGUGGCGAAGGCGGCUCACUGGCUCGAUACUGACGCUGAGGUGCGAAAGCGUGGGGAGCAAACAGG
Molecule: ribosomal RNA, 253 nt
Filed under: uncultured bacterium
Lineage: Bacteria
Description: partial 16S ribosomal RNA
Rfam family: Bacterial small subunit ribosomal RNA
Source: RNAcentral